CCAGGGGGCCGGGCAGCCGCGUGAUCGCAAGAUCCCGAGGAAAGUCCGGGCUCCACGAAACAAGGGUGGCGGGUAACGCCCGCCGGGCUUGGGAUUAACGUCCCCGGUCAAGGGAAAGUGCCACAGAGAGCAGACCGCCUCUCACGAGGUAAGGGUGAAAGGGUGCGGUAAGAGCGCACCGCGCGACCGGCAACGGAAGCGGCAUGGCAAACCCCACCCGGAGCAAGAUCGAAUAGGGACUGCGCGCUUCGCAAGAGGCAGGCUUGUUUCGGGCCAGCAGUCCGGGUUGAUUGCUUGAGCGUUCCGGCAACGGUCCGCCUAGAGGAAUGGCUGCCAGUGCCGAUACGGUCCACUCGUGGGAUACCGUCGGCGCUACAGAACCCGGCUUACAGGCCCCCUGGCAUA
This 405-nucleotide RNase P RNA is filed under the name Novosphingobium hassiacum. RNAcentral's name for it is "Bacterial RNase P class A". It matches the Rfam family "Bacterial RNase P class A". Rfam says of the family: Ribonuclease P (RNase P) is a ubiquitous endoribonuclease, found in archaea, bacteria and eukarya as well as chloroplasts and mitochondria. Its best characterised activity is the generation of mature 5'-ends of tRNAs by cleaving the 5'-leader elements of precursor-tRNAs. The record is from Rfam by way of RNAcentral. Lineage: Bacteria; Pseudomonadati; Pseudomonadota; Alphaproteobacteria; Sphingomonadales; Sphingomonadaceae.